This 91-nucleotide transfer RNA is filed under the name Myriangium duriaei CBS 260.36. Its description in RNAcentral is "tRNA-Pro". The record is from RNAcentral. Lineage: Eukaryota; Fungi; Ascomycota; Dothideomycetes; Myriangiales; Myriangiaceae.
GGUCUUAUGGUCUAGUGGUAUGAUUCUCGCUUAGGGUAUACCCUGAGUUACAACUUGCGAGAGGCCCCGCGUUCGAGUCGCGGUAAGACCC